Molecule: ribosomal RNA, 473 nt
Filed under: uncultured bacterium
Lineage: Bacteria
Description: bacterial SSU rRNA
Rfam family: Bacterial small subunit ribosomal RNA
Source: RNAcentral
GCUGAGCACUCCUACGGGAGGCAGCAGUGGGGAAUAUUGCACAAUGGGCGCAAGCCUGAUGCAGCCAUGCCGCGUGUGUGAAGAAGGCCUUCGGGUUGUAAAGCACUUUCAGUCGUGAGGAAGGUAGUAGUGUUAAUAGCACUAUCAUUUGACGUUAGCGACAGAAGAAGCACCGGCUAACUCCGUGCCAGCAGCCGCGGUAAUACGGAGGGUGCGAGCGUUAAUCGGAAUUACUGGGCGUAAAGCGCAUGCAGGUGGUUUGUUAAGUCAGAUGUGAAAGCCCCGGGGCUCAACCUCGGAAUAGCAUUUGAAACUGGCAGACUAGAGUACUGUAGAGGGGGUAGAAUUUCAGGUGUAGCGGUGAAAUGCGUAGAGAUCUGAAGGAAUACCGGUGGCGAAGGCGGCCCCCUGGACAGAUACUGACACUCAGAUGCGAAAGCGUGGGGAGCAAACAGGAUUAGAUACCCUGGUAG